Molecule: transfer RNA, 59 nt
Filed under: Gnathostoma doloresi
Lineage: Eukaryota; Metazoa; Nematoda; Chromadorea; Rhabditida; Gnathostomatidae
Description: tRNA-Asp
Source: RNAcentral
AGAGUUUUAGUAUAAGUAAAAUAUAUUCUGUUGUCAACGGAAAGACGAAUGGAACUCUG